This 290-nucleotide ribosomal RNA is filed under the name uncultured Eocercomonas. RNAcentral's name for it is "partial 18S ribosomal RNA". The stretch from base 102 to 290 matches the Rfam family "Eukaryotic small subunit ribosomal RNA", at positions 739 to 955 of the family's 1831-position model. The record is from RNAcentral. Lineage: Eukaryota; Cercozoa; Cercomonadida; Cercomonadidae.
GACUUCUGGUUUAAUGCACCUGGCCCGCGGCCCACAAGGCCUGUGAGUGCCGGCGCGCGUUUACCAUCCUUCCAGCAACGGCUACCCUUAACUGGGCGGCUGGAACUGGAUCUUUUACUUUGAAAAAAUUAGAGUGUUUAAAGCAGGCGUUUGCUCUGAAUACAUUAGCAUGGAAUAAUAAUCUAGGACUUCGGUUCUAUUUUGGAUUGAUAGGGAUAGUUGGGGGUGCUAGUAUUGGGUCAGAGGUGAAAUUCUUGGAUUCGGUCAAGGCUAACUUAUGCGAAAGCAUU